Molecule: long non-coding RNA, 229 nt
Filed under: Pan troglodytes (chimpanzee)
Lineage: Eukaryota; Metazoa; Chordata; Mammalia; Primates; Hominidae
Description: long non-coding RNA NONPTRT004931
Source: RNAcentral
AAAUACACGAACAGUCCGAGCUUUUUAAAAAUAUAUGGCUAGAAGAGGUUGAAACUUGUGAUUAAAAUGAGUCUUUUGAGUGUGUGAAAAGUAUUUUCAUCACUUUAAUUUUUUUAAGUGCUCUAGAACUAGCUAAAAUGGGCAAAACGUACUAGAAUAAACAUAGCUGAAUGAGUUGAAUUUACAAACUAGUGGAAGCCUUCUAUUGAACAGUAAUUUACCUUGUAAU